AACGAACGCUGGCGGCAUGCCUAACACAUGCAAGUCGAACGCGUGUAGCAAUACACGAGUGGCGGACGGGUGAGUGACGCGUGGGAACCUGCCCAAUGGUAGGGAAUAACUGCGGGAAACUGCAGCUAAUACCCUAUGCUCCCUACGGGGGAAAGAUUUAUCGCCAUUGGAGGGGCCCGCGUCGGAUUAGCUAGUUGGCGGGGUAACGCCCACCAAGGCUACGAUCCGUAGCUGGCUGAGAGGAUGAUCAGCCACACUGGGACUGAGAUACGGCCCAGACUCCUACGGGAGGCAGCAGUGGGGAAUAUUGGACAAUGGGGGAAACCCUGAUCCAGCAAUGCCGCGUGAGUGAAGAAGGCCUUAGGGUUGUAAAGC
RNAcentral lists this ribosomal RNA (375 nucleotides) under uncultured bacterium. Its description in RNAcentral is "bacterial SSU rRNA". It matches the Rfam family "Bacterial small subunit ribosomal RNA", at positions 29 to 431 of the family's 1533-position model. The record is from RNAcentral.